UCUCCUGAUAACUUUUUAUUGUACUUUUCAGAAAAUAAGGCUGUUGGGGUAAUGAAACCUGGCCACGCAUUUACGAUAGAACCAAUGAUCUGUGAAGGUGGGUGGCAAGAUGAAACCUGGCCCGAUAGCUGGACAGCAGUUACCCGAGAUGGCAAACGGUCUGCUCAGUUUGAACACACGCUCCUAGUCACAGAUACUGGGUGUGACAUCUUAACCCGGCGGUUGGAUAGCAUUCGUCCUCAUUUCAUGACCCAGUGCUAGUAUAAGCCACACGGAGAGCUUGAAAUGAGCAUCUGUACUAUGCAUUUUACUAAUGUACAGGAUGAAAGGGGGAUUUUAUCACCUGUUUUCUUGUCAUUGCCUAUAGGUAAGAGAAAUGCAAAUCUGCAUUGUACAACUUGGAAGAGUCUGAUGCAGAGGACCCCAAAACUGUUUGAACUUUUUAAAAGAAUUUCCAAAUAGCACCCCUUUAUUCUCCUUUCCACCCACCAAAACAAAACAACAGCAGCAACAAAAACAAAGCUGGGCUUCAGAUGAUUUUGACACUGCCACAGUUGUCAGCUGGUGUACCUAAGACAACUUUUUCACGGUGAAUGUGAGAUCUUACCUAAGGUUUUGAACUUUUCUUGUUCCAAAGGCAACCCCUGCUUAGCUUGUGCUGCAAAGGCAGUUUUAAACAGGCUAGGCUUUCAUCUGUUUACAACUCAGAGGUGGCAUUAUAUACUAUGAAAAUGAAACUAGUACUGUGUACUAGUCCCUUCAGAACCUUGUCUGCCUUUCCUUGUACCAUUUUGGUUGCCUCUCGUAAUUGUACAUAGAAGUACAAUAACCACUAGUUAAGUGAAGAAAGAGUUUGCCUUUACCCAGUGGGUCUCUGUGAAAAGCCGUGAAGUGGGGCAGGAAGGCCAAAAUUACUGAGAUCCUUCCUGGUUUGAGCUUUUACCAAAUUGUAGCUUUAAGAUGGGUAGCCCUUGCCAGCCAACAAGGUUCUAAAGUUUCACUGGUAGAAAGCUGUUAUUUUUAAAUUGAAACAGGGGAAAAAAUGGAAAUACAGAGUUCCUGUUCGCCAUGCAUAUUAUAUAUGGUGACUUUAUAUGACUUCAUUGCCAUGAUCAAAUGUUUGUUCACUGUAGGGACCACUUGAUAUCAGUAUAAUUUCAUCAUGGUGCCCUAAAUGAUAUUUUGGCAUUGUGGCAUGCAGCUGUCAGGAACUGGAUCAGUAAUGGCUACUUUUAGUCCAUAGCAACCCAAAUCAGCUUCACUGCAGAUUAGAGAAGAAAACCUUUGCCAAUAGUGAUGAGAACUGGUCCACAAACAGGAAAGUAAGAUAUAAUGCCGUGUGUUUCCCAUGGCAAAUUUUAUCACGUAAUUUUUUUUCUGAAAUGUUCUUAGGCGUUUGACAAAACAAGGUGUAUGUACUGUUCCAACCAGCCAAUGUGAUGCUUCAUCAAAAGGAAGAUGUUGUAGUAAAGAUAAUGCCUUUGAAAGGUGCAAGAAUUGGAGAGCCCUGGAAAUCAUUAAUCUUUCCCCAAAGGUCCUUAGACCAGCAGCAAAGGUGAUAGUGUGAUAAUGUCCUCCCCACCCCAUACUUUAUAUGAGUUUGUUAUACAGAUUUACUGCUGUUGAUGUCAGGGAAAGCGUAAUUUUGUUGGCCAGUGGCUGUUCCCAUCUAGCCUUGUAUUCUGUAAUGAGAAUGAUUUUUCAACCACAUUUUUGAUUCUGGUGCCUACUUCAUCCAUACAAUGUUGAAGUGCAGAAAUGGAAAUGAAGACAAAUAAAAGUCAUAAAAUCA
Molecule: non-coding RNA, 1792 nt
Organism: Python bivittatus (Burmese python)
Lineage: Eukaryota; Metazoa; Chordata; Lepidosauria; Squamata; Pythonidae
Source: RefSeq, a predicted model, not a curated record